UAAAAAUUUUAUAUUAGUUUAUUUAUUAAGUAUUAUUUUUUAUUAUAUGUAAAUUUUAAUUAAAAAAUUAUAUUACAGUAAUUAAAUUUAAAUAUUCAAGAAAUUGAGAUUUAGAAAUAAUAAAUAAUAUAAACCAAAUUUGUGCCAGCAGUUGCGGUUAUACAAAUUAUAUAAUUUAAUUAAUUUAAUAUUAAUUAAUUAUUAAUAAAAAUUUUAAAUUAAGAUUUAUUUAGUGAAAUAUUAAAUUUUAAUAAAAUUUUUAUUUUAAAUAUAUUGGAAAAUUUUAAUUAUAAACUAGGAUUAGAUACCCUAUUAUUUAAAAUGUAAAUAUUUAAAUUAAAUUAGUACCAGUUAUAUUCUUGAAAAUUAAAAAAUUUGGCGGUGUUUUAGUCUUUUCAGAGGAACCUGUUUUAUAAAUGAUAAUCCACGAUUUAAUUUACUUUUUUUAUUAGCUUAUAUAUCGUCGUAGUUAAAUAUUUUUAAAGAAUUUAAAUAUUUAAAAUUUCUUUAUAGAGAAGAUUUCAGAUCAAGGUGUAGUUUAUAAAAAAGUAAAAAUGGGUUACAAUAAAUUUAUUUUAGGAUAUUUAUUAUUAUUAAUAAAUUCAAUUUGGAUUUGAAAGUAAUUUUAAUUAAUUUAUUAAAAUGAUUUUAGCUCUAAAAUAUGUACAUAUUGCCCGUCGCUUUCAUUUAAAAUGGAAUAAGUCGUAACAAAGUAGAUUUACUGGAAAGUGAAUCUAGAUUCAA
RNAcentral lists this non-coding RNA (744 nucleotides) under Psylliodes fusiformis. Lineage: Eukaryota; Metazoa; Arthropoda; Insecta; Coleoptera; Chrysomelidae. The record is from RNAcentral.